This 406-nucleotide ribosomal RNA is filed under the name uncultured bacterium. Its description in RNAcentral is "partial 16S ribosomal RNA". It matches the Rfam family "Bacterial small subunit ribosomal RNA", at positions 30 to 526 of the family's 1533-position model. The record is from RNAcentral.
AUUGAACGCUGGCGGCAGGCCUAACACAUGCAAGUCGAACGAGUGGCGGACGGGUGAGUAAUGUCUGGGACACUGCCUGAUGGAGGGGGAUAACUACUGGAAACGGAAGCUAAUACCGCAUACCAUCGGAUGUGCCCGGAUGGGAUUAGCUAGUUGGUGGGGUAACGGCUCACCAAGGCGACGAUCCCUAGCUGGUCUGAGAGGAUGACCAGCCACACUGGAACUGAGACACGGUCCAGACUCCUACGGUAGGCAGCAGUGGGGAAUAUUGCACAAUGGGCGCAAGCCUGAUGCAGCCAUGCCGCGUGUAUGAAGAAGGCCUUCGGGUUGUAAAGUACUUUCAGUGGGGAGGCGUUACCAGCAGAAGAAGCACCGGCUAACUCCGUGCCAGCAGCCGCGGUAAUUC